This 1272-nucleotide long non-coding RNA is filed under the name Bos indicus x Bos taurus (hybrid cattle). Its description in RNAcentral is "lncRNA (ENSBIXG00000016338.1)". Lineage: Eukaryota; Metazoa; Chordata; Mammalia; Artiodactyla; Bovidae. The record is from RNAcentral.
UUUGGGCCCAAUUUCCUUUUUCUUCUGCGUGGUCGUUGUGGGCUGUUCUCUGUCCAUUUCCUCAUCAGCGUAUCUGCCUCUGCAUCGGGACCUGUGCCUUCUAUUUCUCUGCAAUUCUGUGCUUUCUGCAUGGCAACCAGGUGACUGACCCCUCUUUAAAGCUCAAAGAGCUGUUGCGUAAAGCUUUUUCUGAAAAACAGCACCCUGCCCAUAUUCCAGCUCCAUGGUCGUUCAAACUAAGGGGAACCUUUGAAGUUGCCCUCUCCUUGCCACCAGCCUCUACAAAGAAACAGACCUGCUGACCACAGCCUUUCCCCGGAGUCUGCCCUACUUAGCUAGCCAAGGACAUCCAACUCUGAGCCUGCCUCUCUGUGGUCUCUGCCUCUCAGCUGUCAGGGUUUAUAUGAUAUUCAGAGUUUGGGCUGUUAGCUAGUCACCGCCUUUCAAUCACAGACCUGGGAGUACAGGCAACAGAGGGAGUCAGUGUCCAGCCUCUUCCCCAGCUGUGGACACCAUCCUGGGGAAGCCCUUGGUUUUGGCUGCAGCACAGCAGAGGGGAAUAAGCAAGGACUCCAGUGGCUGCCACUCAGUCCAUUUCUUGAAGCCUCGGUUUCCUUAUUGAAUGUGGGGAUGAGAAGCAUAGUUGAUCAGGAAGCUGGAGGGAGGUGGUCCAGGGCUGCUCAAGGAUAUUUUCUGUCUCCUGGUUCUGCCAUCCUCAUAUGUGGCUUUGGUCCUCUUAGUGAAAGCUCCAUUAUCUUCUGUAUUUCAACAAGGUAGGAGGAAGAGUGAAAAUGAAGGGCAAGAGCCAAGGGCUUUCUGCUCCUGAGAACUCGUGUGUGUGUGUGUUGUGGGAGUGGGUGUGGAAGGCAGCCCUUCCAUAGGAGUGCACUGCUAUGUAGAUGGUCAGACUGUGUCACAUGGCCAAUCUGAGCCUUAAUGAUGGCUGGAAAGGAAUUUAUUUUAUAGGCUCAGCUGUUGAGGAAGGCAAGGGAGGAGGUGUUUGAAAUUGUGUGUGAUCUGUCCUCGGAGUUCCUCUGCCCCAGGAUAUGUGUGAAGAGAGCUGUAGCAGACAUUGCUUAGACUGGGUUUUGUUUCAUUUCGAGCUGUUUGACCUGCUAUUCAGGGUCUAAGGUCUGACCUUCUUUCCUUCACUGUCCCUCUGGCUCAGUUUCCUCAUCUCUGAGCACUGAAGAAUCACAUGCUCUGUGCACCCUGCCUUGGACCCCACCGUCUGGGGAGGCUUGGCCACCUCUUUCCAGAGCCCACCCUUCU